Molecule: ribosomal RNA, 508 nt
Filed under: Platycnemis foliacea
Lineage: Eukaryota; Metazoa; Arthropoda; Insecta; Odonata; Platycnemididae
Description: partial 16S rRNA
Rfam family: Archaeal large subunit ribosomal RNA
Source: RNAcentral
GUCCUCUUGUUUAUUUUGGAGGUCUGACCUGCCCAGUGAAAUUUUUAACGGCCGCGGUAUUUUGACCGUGCAAAGGUAGCAUAAUCAUUAGUCUUUUAAUAGAGGGCUGGAAUGAAGGGUUUAACGAAUCAUUAGCUGUCUCAUUUUUAUAACUUAAAACUUAAUUUUUAAGUUAAAAAGCUUAAAUGGUAUUGAAGGACGAGAAGACCCUAUAGAGCUUUAUAUUAUAUUUUUUAAUGAAUUGUUGAUUUAUAUUUAUUUAUUAUAAUAAUUUAAUAUUUUGUUGGGGUGACAGAAAUAAAUAAUUAACUUUUUUAUUUUUUAAACAUAAAUUUAUGAACUUUUGAUCCAUUAUUAUUGAUUGUUAGAUUAAGUUACCUUAGGGAUAACAGCGUAAUCUUUUUUUGGAGUUCAAAUUUACAAAAAGGCUUGCGACCUCGAUGUUGGAUUAAGAUUAUAGUUUGGUGUAGUAGCUAAAUUAAUAGGUCUGUUCGACCUUUAAAUUCUU